CAAGUCGAACGGGUGUAGCAAUACAUCAGAGGCAGACGGGUGAGUAACACGUGGGAACCUUCCUAGGGGUACGGAACAACUCAGGGAAACUUGAGCUAAUACCGUAUACGUCCGUGAGGAGAAAGAUUUAUCGCCCUUAGACGGGCCCGCGUCGGAUUAGCUAGUUGGUGGGUAACGGCCUACCAAGGCGACGAUCCGUAGCUGAUCUUAGAGGAUGAUCAGCCACACUGGGACUGAGACACGGCCCAGACUCCUACGGGAGGCAGCAGUGGGGAAUCUUGGACAAUGGGCGCAAGCCUGAUCCAGCCAUGCCGCGUGAGUGAAGAAGGUCUUCGGAUUGUAAAGCUCUUUUGCCAGGGACGAUAAUGACGGUACCUGGAGAAUAAGCCCCGGCAAACUUCGUG
RNAcentral lists this ribosomal RNA (404 nucleotides) under uncultured bacterium. RNAcentral describes it as "bacterial SSU rRNA". It matches the Rfam family "Bacterial small subunit ribosomal RNA", at positions 58 to 507 of the family's 1533-position model. The record is from RNAcentral.